RNAcentral lists this ribosomal RNA (497 nucleotides) under uncultured bacterium. RNAcentral describes it as "partial 16S ribosomal RNA". It matches the Rfam family "Bacterial small subunit ribosomal RNA", at positions 28 to 507 of the family's 1533-position model. The record is from RNAcentral.
GAUGAACGCUGGCGGCGUGCCUAAUACAUGCAAGUCGAGCGAACAGACGAGGAGCUUGCUCCUCUGACGUUAGCGGCGGACGGGUGAGUAACACGUGGAUAACCUACCUAUAAGACUGGGAUAACUUCGGGAAACCGGAGCUAAUACCGGAUAAUAUAUUGAACCGCAUGGUUCAAUAGUGAAAGACGGUUUUGCUGUCACUAAUAGAUGGAUCCGCGCCGCAUUAGCUAGUUGGUAAGGUAACGGCUUACCAAGGCAACGAUGCGUAGCCGACCUGAGAGGGUGAUCGGCCACACUGGAACUGAGACACGGUCCAGACGCCUACGGGAGGCAGCAGUAGGGAAUCUUCCGCAAUGGGCGAAAGCCUGACGGAGCAACGCCGCGUGAGUGAUGAAGGUCUUCGGAUCGUAAAACUCUGUUAUUAGGGAAGAACAAAUGUGUAAGUAACUAUGCACGUCUUGACGGUACCUAAUCAGAAAGCCACGGCUAACUACGUG